AUGCUAGUUGACGGCGGGGCCGGCUUGAAUCUGAUCUCCUCCGCUGUCCUCCAGAAACUUCAGAUCCCUGACAGCGAGCUCGAGGAGACCGGCACAUUCCAAGGAAUCAGCCCGGGAAGAAGCAAGCCAAAGGGAAAGAUCACGCUGCCGGUCACAUUUGGCAGUGAGCUGAACUUCAGGACUGAGAGGGUCAUGUUUGACGUUGCUGAUUUUCCAUUGCCCUACAAUGGGAUCCUUGGCCGUCCAGCGCUCGCCAAGUUUAUGGCAGCCUCUCACUAUGCAUACAACAUGCUCAAGAUGCCAGGCCCGAUAAGUGUCAUCUCUGUCCCCGGCGACAAGAAGGAUGCCCUUAUCUGCGCUGACAAGAUCUACCGGGAAGCAGCAGCCGCAGCUGAUCACAACACACUU
This 408-nucleotide ribosomal RNA is filed under the name Triticum aestivum (bread wheat). Its description in RNAcentral is "partial small subunit ribosomal RNA". Lineage: Eukaryota; Viridiplantae; Streptophyta; Magnoliopsida; Poales; Poaceae. The record is from RNAcentral.